AGAGUUUGAUCCUGGCUCAGGACGAACGCUGGCGGCGCGCCUAACACAUGCAAGUCGAACGAGAGAGAGGGAGCUUGCUUCCUUGAUCGAGUGGCGAACGGGUGAGUAACGCGUGAGGAACCUGCCUCAAAGAGGGGGACAACAGUUGGAAACGACUGCUAAUACCGCAUAAGCCCACGGCUCGGCAUCGAGCAGAGGGAAAAGGAGCGAUCCGCUUUGAGAUGGCCUCGCGUCCGAUUAGCUAGUUGGUGAGGUAACGGCCCACCAAGGCAACGAUCGGUAGCCGGACUGAGAGGUUGAACGGCCACAUUGGGACUGAGACACGGCCCAGACUCCUACGGGAGGCA
RNAcentral lists this ribosomal RNA (347 nucleotides) under uncultured bacterium. RNAcentral describes it as "bacterial SSU rRNA". It matches the Rfam family "Bacterial small subunit ribosomal RNA", at positions 8 to 350 of the family's 1533-position model. The record is from RNAcentral.